GAUGAAGAACGCAGCGAAAUGCGAUAAGUAGUGUGAAUUGCAGAAUUCAGUGAAUCAUCGAAUCUUUGAACGCACAUUGCGCCCCUUGGUAUUCCAUGGGGCAUGCCUGUUCGAGCGUCAUUUGUACCUUCAAGCUCUGCUUGGUGUUGGGUGUUUGUCUCGCCUCUGCGUGUAGACUCGCCUCAAAACAAUUGGCAGCCGGCGUAUUGAUUUCGGAGCGCAGUACAUCUCGCGCUUUGCACUCAUAACGACGACGUCCAAAAGUACAUUUUUGCACUCUUGACCUCGGAUCAGGUAGGGAUACCCGCUGAACUUAAGCAUAUCAAUAAGCGGAGGA
RNAcentral lists this unclassified non-coding RNA (337 nucleotides) under soil metagenome. Its description in RNAcentral is "partial contains 5.8S ribosomal RNA, internal transcribed spacer 2, and large subunit ribosomal RNA". The stretch from base 1 to 120 matches the Rfam family "5.8S ribosomal RNA", at positions 35 to 154 of the family's 154-position model. The record is from RNAcentral.